CACGGAUCAGUAUCACAGACCAGUUUCAGUCCGCAGCAAGGGGUUUGGGACCCCUGAAAUAAAUAAUAGUUUUUUAAUGAAGUUUGCUCCGCUGCCUCCAGACCAGGGCUCUGUACUAGUAACACAGGCUGCUGUCUUCAAGCGCCAUCAGUAAGUCAGGCAUAAUGCUUCAAUGUGAGGAGUCUUCCAAAGUGAUUUACAGAUUAGUAGAAAAGAUAAACAUGGAACAUAUAUGGGUACAAGUUAAUGCAUUAUGCUUCAAUGUGAGGAGUCUUCUGAAGGGAUUUACAGAUUAGUAGAAGAGAAAAGCAUAGAACAUAUAAUGGAUACAAAUAUAUAUAGAUGGAAAACAUGUGCAAUACAAAGUAAGCUUUAAAAAGAUGAUCACAAUAUUAUCAUCGAUAAUCAGAUAUUUUAAAUUUGCCUUUGUAACUAAUGUGUCUUACUAUUUGAGGAGAACUGUAACAGGUAGAGAUUAGAAAGUUUUUUUUUUUUUUUUUCAGAAGGUAUAUCGGCAUCCACUGGGAAAAUUGUUGGCCUUUGUAGUAGAUAAUUCAUGU
This is a long non-coding RNA of Callithrix jacchus (white-tufted-ear marmoset), 560 nucleotides long. RefSeq lists it as uncharacterized. The record is from RefSeq and is a predicted model, not a curated record. NCBI's taxonomy places the organism in Eukaryota, Metazoa, Chordata, Mammalia, Primates, Cebidae.